GCUUGUCUCAAAGAUUAAGCCAUGCAUGUCUAAGUAUAAGCCUUUAUAUGGUGAGACUGCGAAUGGCUCAUUAAAUCAGAAACUGUUUAUUUGAUAGUGCCUACUACAUGGAUACCUGUAGUAAUUCUAGAGCUAAUACAUGCAAAAAGCCUGGACUUCUGGAACAGGCGUAUUUAUUAGAUAUACAAACCAACCGCUUCGGCGACCCUUGGUGACUCAUAAUAACUGUGCGGAUCGCGUUUUACGCGAUAAAUCGAUUGAGUUUCUGCCCUAUCAGCUUUGGAUGGUAGGAUAUGGGCCUACCAUGGCAUUAACGGGUAACGGGGAAUUAGGGUUUGAUUCCGGAGAGGGAGCCUUAGAAACGGCUACCACAUCCAAGGAAGGCAGCAGG
This 391-nucleotide ribosomal RNA is filed under the name uncultured Telonemia. RNAcentral's name for it is "partial small subunit ribosomal RNA". It matches the Rfam family "Eukaryotic small subunit ribosomal RNA", at positions 30 to 432 of the family's 1831-position model. The record is from RNAcentral. Lineage: Eukaryota; Telonemia.